GCUUUGGAUGUGACAUGUGUCGCCCCACUGAUCACCAUGGUUGAUUCAGCUGCCCUUGCGGACUAGGAAGGUGUCCCUUUCCU
RNAcentral lists this small RNA (83 nucleotides) under Saimiri boliviensis boliviensis (Bolivian squirrel monkey). RNAcentral's name for it is "7SK RNA (ENSSBOG00000004927.1)". Lineage: Eukaryota; Metazoa; Chordata; Mammalia; Primates; Cebidae. The record is from Rfam by way of RNAcentral.